RNAcentral lists this ribosomal RNA (402 nucleotides) under uncultured Candidatus Sericytochromatia bacterium. RNAcentral's name for it is "bacterial SSU rRNA". It matches the Rfam family "Bacterial small subunit ribosomal RNA", at positions 355 to 774 of the family's 1533-position model. The record is from RNAcentral. Lineage: Bacteria; Bacillati; Candidatus Sericytochromatia.
UGGGGAAUUUUCCGCAAUGGGCGAAAGCCUGACGGAGCGACGCCGCGUGGAGGAUGACGUCUUUCGGGAUGUAAACUCCUGUCAGGGGGGACGAUGAUGACGGUACCCCCAAAGGAAGCAUCGGCUAACUACGUGCCAGCAGCCGCGGUAAGACGUAGGAUGCGAGCGUUGUUCGGAAUUAUUGGGCGUAAAGCGUGCGUAGGCGGCGAUCUAAGUCUGGUGUUAAAGCUAGGGGCUCAACCCCUGUGAUGCACUGGAAACUGGGUCGCUUGAGUGUGGUAGGGGAAGGUGGAAUUCCGAGUGUAGCGGUGAAAUGCGUAGAUAUUCGGAAGAACACCGGUGGCGAAGGCGACCUUCUGGGCCACUACUGACGCUGAGGCACGAAAGCGUGGGGAGCAAACG